Hippoglossus stenolepis (Pacific halibut) is the source of this 163-nucleotide small nuclear RNA. RefSeq annotates it as U1 spliceosomal RNA. The transcript has a single exon. The record is from RefSeq and is a predicted model, not a curated record. Lineage: Eukaryota; Metazoa; Chordata; Actinopteri; Pleuronectiformes; Pleuronectidae.
AUACUUACCUGCUAGGAGAUACCAUGAUCACAUGUGGUUUACCCACACAGUGGCCUCAGCCAUUGCACUUUCGGUUGGUAAGACUCGCAUGAAUUUCCCAAAUGUGGAAUCUCAAUGCAAAGGGGCCAAUUUCUAGGUAGUGGGGACGUUGCCCGCCUCCCUG